CAGCAGUGAGGAAUAUUGGUCAAUGGGAGAGAUCCUGAACCAGCCAAGCCGCGUGAGGGAAGACGGCCCUAUGGGUUGUAAACCUCUUUUGUCGGAGAACAAAACCCGGGACGAGUCCCGGACUGCGUGUAUCCGAAGAAAAAGCAUCGGCUAACUCCGUGCCAGCAGCCGCGGUAAUACGGAGGAUGCGAGCGUUAUCCGGAUUUAUUGGGUUUAAAGGGUGCGUAGGCGGUCCGUUAAGUCAGCGGUAAAAUUGCGGGGCUCAACCCCGUCGAGCCGUUGAAACUGGCAGACUUGAGUUGGCGAGAAGUACGCGGAAUGCGCGGUGUAGCGGUGAAAUGCAUAGAUAUCGCGCAGAACUCCGAUUGCGAAGGCAGCGUACCGGCGCCAGACUGACGCUGAGGCACGAAAGCGUGGGGAUCGAACAGGAUUAGAUACCCUGGUAGUCCACGCAGUAAACGAUGAAUGCUGGUUGUCCGGGUCGAAUGAGAUCUGG
This 496-nucleotide ribosomal RNA is filed under the name uncultured bacterium. RNAcentral describes it as "bacterial SSU rRNA". It matches the Rfam family "Bacterial small subunit ribosomal RNA", at positions 349 to 842 of the family's 1533-position model. The record is from RNAcentral.